Molecule: long non-coding RNA, 1500 nt
Organism: Mustela lutreola (European mink)
Lineage: Eukaryota; Metazoa; Chordata; Mammalia; Carnivora; Mustelidae
Exons: 3
Source: RefSeq, a predicted model, not a curated record
CUUCAUUGCUCUACACCAGGACCCCAGACUAAGGGGCUUUUGUGGAAUGUGUUUGCCCAAAUGAGUCAGCUGUAAACUUUCUCCUGACAUAUUCGAUGAUAAUUACGUAAAUAAGCCUUCUUCUAGUAAACCCAGGUUGCUGGGCCAUCCCUAGCAAAGGGGACUCUGGCUUUAUUUCUCUGUUUCUCUUAAUAGAUGUGGGGGCUUUUCCCUCACUCACUUCCCGUGUUAAUGGCUAUAACUGGAGCCAACUGGGGUUGGUAUAACUCGAGACAGAGACCAUAAGGAAUAUUCCCAAGCAGCUGCCGAAACUCUCUCUGUGUUCUCUGGCCUGACUUGGACUGCCUAAUCCCUUCCCCCUUGCUGGUGGGAAAGCAUGGCGUCUGCUCUUCUGUUGGGGCUUGUGAGCUCUAAAACCGGGAAUCUUUUCUCUGCCUCCUGGCAGCGCUUUGUUUCUUCUGUUUCCCCCUUAUUGUGUUUCUGUACCAACGCGCGUGCAGCCUGCAUGACUGGCCUCUAGAUCAUGCACCACGGCUCCUUCUCUCUUCACUGUCAAGGAGCAAGAAGAGUACCCCCUGGACCUAACACCCCCACUCCAGAUCUUCCCACGCAUGUCUCAGGUAAACAUUCAAAGUGGAGUGGGCCCAGGUGGAACGUAAAUCAGUAUUGGAACUAAGUUAAGUUUGUUGGUUUAAUUAAGAUAGAUGCAUCUUUGAAGUUAACAGCAGUAAAUGUGAAGCUUUAUUCUAUCGAAGUUUACUAAAGGUCAAAUAAGCUCAUGUUAUUUGUUAAAAUUUGUUAGCAAAGAAAUGACGAAACUGAUGGCUAAUUGUUGUCUCAAAGUCCUAAUGGGUAAUUGCUGAAGUAACUUUCAAAGUCUUUGGUAACCUGAAAGUUUUUUAAAGUUUUGCUUGGAUGACAAAUGGAAUUAACCGGGGCAGCCGCAUCUCUGCCUGCCCACGGGCCCUGUCCCCGUGCUCUAAUAAAUCACCUUUUGCACCAACGACGUCUUAAGAAUUCUUUCUUUAGUCGUUGGCUCCGAACCUCCUCACCCCACCGAACCUGACUUAGGUUCUGGGACUUCAUCAAGAAGGAGAGGCUUUGGGAAUUCUCCUGGAUAGAGGCACGCUGGUGGCUUCAAGGGGCUUGGCGGAGGUCAGGAGCCCUGGGGCGAGGAAUCCUGAACUCCUCCCCCUGAAGCGUCGGAACGAACACUGCAUGGAAAGGAAUUGGAAUGGAAGUGAAGGAGGGAAAGAGGAAGACCUUGUUCUACUUCAUGAGGACGGAGGUGAGAAAUCAUGAAAUCUUACCCCUGAAGCCAAGGAAUGAACACUGCUUGGAAAGAAAUUGGAAUGGAAGACAAGGAAAGAAGACCAUGUUCUACUUCAUGAAGAGUGAGGUAAACAUGGAGUGAUUUUCGCUCUCUUGUUCUGUCGAUCAUUUUCAAAUACACUGUGGUAGGAUACAUUUGGUUCUGUUUGCAUAAGGAGCCCCCAGAAA